AAGACCUUGCGCUUUUGGAGCGGCCGAUGCCUGAUUAGCUUGUUGGUAAGGUAAAAGCUUACCAAGGCUUCGAUCAGUAGCUGGUCUGAGAGGACGGCCAGCCACACUGGGACUGAGACACGGCCCAGACUCCUACGGGAGGCAGCAGUGGGGAAUUUUGGACAAUGGGGGCAACCCUGAUCCAGCCAUGCCGCGUGAGUGAAGAAGACCUUCGGGUUGUAAAGCUCUUUCAGCCGGAACGAAACGGUUACGGUUAAUACCCGUGAUUACUGACGGUACCGGAAGAAGAAGCACCGGCUAACUACGUGCCAGCAGCCGCGGUAAUACGUAGGGUGCGAGCGUUAAUCGGAAUUACUGGGCGUAGAGCGUGCGCAGGUGGUUUUGUAAGUCAGAUGUGAAAGCCCCGGGCUCAACCUGGGAACU
Molecule: ribosomal RNA, 423 nt
Filed under: uncultured bacterium
Lineage: Bacteria
Description: bacterial SSU rRNA
Rfam family: Bacterial small subunit ribosomal RNA
Source: RNAcentral